This 1242-nucleotide ribosomal RNA is filed under the name metagenome. RNAcentral describes it as "SSU rRNA". It matches the Rfam family "Eukaryotic small subunit ribosomal RNA", at positions 528 to 1790 of the family's 1831-position model. The record is from RNAcentral.
AAUCCCUUAUCGAGGAUCAAUUGGAGGGCAAGUCUGGUGCCAGCAGCCGCGGUAAUUCCAGCUCCAAUAGCGUAUAUUAAAGUUGUUGCAGUUAAAAAGCUCGUAGUUGGAUUUGUGGUUUACGCAAGGCUUCCGUCCCUCUUGGGUUUCGGUGUUGCCUGGCGUUGCCAUCCUUGGGUGGAAUCCGUGUGGCAUUAGGUUGUCGUGCAGGGGAUGCCCAUCGUUUACUGUGAAAAAAUUAGAGUGUUCAAAGCAGGCUUAUGCCGUUGAAUAUGUUAGCAUGGAAUAAUAAUAUAGGACCUUGGUACUAUUUUGUUGGUUUGCGCACCGAGGUAAUGAUUAACAGGGUCAACUGGGGAUAUUCGUAUUCCGCUGUCAGAGGUGAAAUUCUUGGAUUUUUGGAAGACGAACUACUGCGAAAGCAUUUAUCAAGGAUGUUUUCAUUAAUCAAGAACGAAAGUUAGGGGAUCGAAGAUGAUUAGAUACCAUCGUAGUCUUAACCAUAAACUAUGCCGACAAGGGAUUGGUGGAGUAUCGUUACGUCUCCAUCAGCACCUUAUGAGAAAUCAAAAGUCUUUGGGUUCCGGGGGGAGUAUGGUCGCAAGGCUGAAACUUAAAGAAAUUGACGGAAGGGCACCACCAGGAGUGGAGCCUGCGGCUUAAUUUGACCCAACACGGGAAAACUUACCAGGUCCAGACAUAGUGAGGAUUGACAGAUUGAGAGCUCAUUCUUGAUUCUAUGGGUGGUGGUGCAUGGCCGUUCUUAGUUGGUGGAGUGAUUCGUCUGGUUUAUUCCGUUAACGAACGAGACCCCUGCCUGCUAAAUAGCCCAGUGAGUGAUUUUUCACUGACUGUUGGCUUCUUAGAGGGACGUGCAUUCUAUUAGAUGCAGGAAGAUAGGGGCAAUAACAGGUCUGUGAUGCCCUUAGAUGUCCUGGGCCGCACGCGCGCUACACUGAUGAAUUCAACGAGUUUUUUCCUUGGCCGAGAGGCCUGGGCAAUCUUUUGAACGUUCAUCGUGAUAGGGAUAGAUUAUUGCAAUUAUUAAUCUUGAACGAGGAAUUCCUAGUAAACGCAGAUCAUCAAUCUGCAUUGAUUACGUCCCUGCCCUUUGUACACACCGCCCGUCGCACCUACCGAUUGAAUGGUCCGGUGAAGCCUCGGGAUUGUGGUCAGUUUGCUUUAUUGCGAGUUGAUUGCGAGAACUUGUCUAAACCUUAUCAUUUAGAGGAAGGUGAAGUC